UUGAGUUCAUCACCCAUCUAAGUAUCUCAUAUAGGUUAGGGAUCAAAACAUUGCGUUCAGCAAAGUCAAUAGCCAGAUGGAAGCCAAGCCAGCGACGGUUUUGUUCAUUGUGCUCCUUGGAUGCUCCGCGGUCGCGUUGGUUUUCUCAAUUGAUAGUGAGAUCGGCAGAUCAGGUGGUCUUCGUCUUUCGGAUGACGAGACUAGCAACGACCACAUCUCGUCACCAAAAAUAAGGUGCUUUCGGAGGAUGUAUGACCUUGUCCACAACAAGUUCUGUUGCGCAACGUUGAAGGAUUAUCCUUGCUGGCCAACGUUGGACGAGUGCAUCCCGAAUUGCCCAUAGGUCCUGCCAGUGCUACCUUCUUGCCCCCUAAUCAAUGCAGCGUGUUGAUCUUAGAUGUUUCUGUCGAUCAGGGUUGAGUCUGUAAAUGAAACGAAAAAUUGAAUGAAGGGAAAAAAUAAAUUCCUUUGCGGGGGAGCAAAUUGGGUUUC
Molecule: long non-coding RNA, 492 nt
Organism: Triticum dicoccoides
Lineage: Eukaryota; Viridiplantae; Streptophyta; Magnoliopsida; Poales; Poaceae
Exons: 2
Source: RefSeq, a predicted model, not a curated record